GAUGAACGCUGACAGAAUGCUUAACACAUGCAAGUCGACUUGAACUUCGGUUUGGGUGGCGGACGGGUGAGUAACGCGUAGAGAACUUGCCUCACAGUUAGGGACAACAUUUGUAAACGUAUGCUAAUACCUGAUAUUAUGAUUUUAGGGCAUCCUAGAAUUAUGAAAGCUAUAUGCGCUGUGAGAGAGCUUUGCGUCCCAUUAGCUAGUUGGAGAGGUAACGGCUCACCAAGGCGAUGAUGGGUAGCCGGCCUGAGAGGGUGAACGGCCACAAGGGGACGGAGACACGGCCCUUACUCCUACGGGAGGCAGCAGUGGGGAAUAUUGGACAAUGGACCAAGAGUCUGAUCCAGCAAUUCUGUGUGCACGAUGAAGUUUUUCGGAAUGUAAAGUGCUUUCAGUUGGGAAGAAAAAAAUGACGAUACCAACAGAAGAAGUGACGGCUAAAUACGUG
RNAcentral lists this ribosomal RNA (454 nucleotides) under uncultured bacterium. Its description in RNAcentral is "partial 16S ribosomal RNA". It matches the Rfam family "Bacterial small subunit ribosomal RNA", at positions 28 to 507 of the family's 1533-position model. The record is from RNAcentral.